This is a non-coding RNA of Acanthosepion pharaonis, 98 nucleotides long. The record is from the annotation of a GenBank genome assembly. NCBI's taxonomy places the organism in Eukaryota, Metazoa, Mollusca, Cephalopoda, Sepiida, Sepiidae.
GCUGAAACACUAGUUCCCAUAAAAUCGCCAAAGUUAAGCAACGUCAAGCCUGGUCAGUGCUUAGAUGGGUGACCACUUGGGAAUACCAGGUGCUGGAA